CCGUAGCCCAAGAGAUCGGGAUAACACCUGGAAACAGAUGCUAAUACCGGAUAACAANAGAUGAUGCCUAUCAACUGUUUAAAAGAUGGUUCUGCUAUCACUCUUGGAUGGACCUGCGGUGCAUUAGCUAGUUGGUAGGGUAACGGCCUACCAAGGCGAUGAUGCAUAGCCGAGUUGAGAGACUGAUCGGCCACAUUGGGACUGAGACACGGCCCAAACUCCUACGGGAGGCAGCAGC
RNAcentral lists this ribosomal RNA (238 nucleotides) under uncultured Lactobacillus sp. RNAcentral describes it as "partial 16S ribosomal RNA". It matches the Rfam family "Bacterial small subunit ribosomal RNA", at positions 125 to 355 of the family's 1533-position model. Lineage: Bacteria; Bacillati; Bacillota; Bacilli; Lactobacillales; Lactobacillaceae. The record is from RNAcentral.